CCUACGGGAGGCAGCAGUGAGGAAUAUUGGUCAAUGGCCGCGAGCCUGAACCAGCCAAGUAGCGUGAAGGAUGAAUGCCCUACGGAUUGUAAACUUCUUUUGUCAAGGAAUAAAGUUAGGCACGUGUGCCUUUUUGUAUGUACUUUAUGAAUAAGGAUCGGCUAACUCCGUGCCAGCAGCCGCGGUAAUACGGAGGAUCCGAGCGUUAUCCGGAUUUAUUGGGUUUAAAGGGUGCGUAGAUGGGUUGUUAAGUCAGUGGUGAAAGUUUGGGGCUCAACCGUAAAAUUGCAAUUGAUACUGGCAGACUUGAGUACAGGUGAGGUAGGCGGAAUUCGUGGUGUAGCGGUGAAAUGCUUAGAUAUCACGAAGAACUCCGAUUGCGAAGGCAGCUUACUAAACUGCCACUGACAUUGAUGCUCGAAAGUGUGGGUAUCAAACAGGAUUAGAUACCCUAGUAGUC
Molecule: ribosomal RNA, 460 nt
Filed under: uncultured bacterium
Lineage: Bacteria
Description: partial 16S ribosomal RNA
Rfam family: Bacterial small subunit ribosomal RNA
Source: RNAcentral